GCGGCGGCGUGCUAAUACAUGCAAGUCGAGCGAAUGGAUUAAGAGCUUGCUCUUAUGAAGUUAGCGGCGGACGGGUGAGUAACACGUGGGUAACCUGCCCAUAAGACUGGGAUAACUCCGGGAAACCGGGGCUAAUACCGGAUAACAUUUUGAACCGCAUGGUUCGAAAUUGAAAGGCGGCUUCGGCUGUCACUUAUGGAUGGACCCGCGUCGCAUUAGCUAGUUGGUGAGGUAACGGCUCACCAAGGCAACGAUGCGUAGCCGACCUGAGAGGGUGAUCGGCCACACUGGGACUGAGACACGGCCCAGACUCCUACGGGAGGCAGCAGUAGGGAAUCUUCCGCAAUGGACGAAAGUCUGACGGAGCAACGCCGCGUGAGUGAUGAAGGCUUUCGGGUCGUAAAACUCUGUUGUUAGGGAAGAACAAGUGCUAGUUGAAUAAGCUGGCACCUUGACGGUACCUAACCAGAAAGCCACGGCUAACUACGUGCCAGCAGCCGCGGUAAUACGUAGGUGGCAAGCGUUAUCCGGAAUUAUUGGGCGUAAAGCGCGCGCAGGUGGUUUCUUAAGUCUGAUGUGAAAGCCCACGGCUCAACCGUGGAGGGUCAUUGGAAACUGGGAGACUUGAGUGCAGAAGAGGAAAGUGGAAUUCCAUGUGUAGCGGUGAAAUGCGUAGAGAUAUGGAGGAACACCAGUGGCGAAGGCGACUUUCUGGUCUGUAACUGACACUGAGGCGCGAAAGCGUGACAACCC
This 753-nucleotide ribosomal RNA is filed under the name Bacillus cereus. RNAcentral's name for it is "bacterial SSU rRNA". It matches the Rfam family "Bacterial small subunit ribosomal RNA", at positions 35 to 770 of the family's 1533-position model. Lineage: Bacteria; Bacillati; Bacillota; Bacilli; Caryophanales; Bacillaceae. The record is from RNAcentral.